GAUAACCCAUAAGAGGUCCAGCCUGCCCAGUGACAAAGUUAAACGGCCGCGGUACCCUAACCGUGCAAAGGUAGCGCAAUCACUUGUUCUUUAAAUGAGGACCGGUAUGAACGGCAUCACGAGGGUUAUACUGUCUCCCCACUCAACUCAGUGAAACUGAUCUUCCCGUGAAGAAGCGGGAAUAAAAAUAUAAGACGAGAAGACCCCAUGGAGCUUAAAACUCAGAAUCAACUGCCACAUUUAUAACCUCAUAACCACGCAGCCAUGACCUCUAGUUUUCGGUUGGGGUGACCGCGGAGUAAAACACAACCUCCAUGAUGAAAGGAACUAAUACCCUAAUCUAAGGACGACAGCCCUAAGAAUUAAUACAUUAACCCAAUUGAUCCAAUCACUUGAUCAACGAACCAAGUUACCCUGGGGAUAACAGCGCAAUCCAUUUCAAGAGCUCAUAUCGACAAAUGGGUUUACGACCUCGAUGUUGGAUCAGGAUAUCCCAGUGGCGCAGCCGCUACUAACGGUUCGUUUGUUCAACGAUUAAAAUCCUACGUGAUCUGAGU
RNAcentral lists this ribosomal RNA (557 nucleotides) under Microhyla pulchra. RNAcentral describes it as "partial 16S ribosomal RNA". It matches the Rfam family "Bacterial large subunit ribosomal RNA", at positions 1837 to 2610 of the family's 2925-position model. Lineage: Eukaryota; Metazoa; Chordata; Amphibia; Anura; Microhylidae. The record is from RNAcentral.